This 254-nucleotide ribosomal RNA is filed under the name uncultured bacterium. Its description in RNAcentral is "partial 16S ribosomal RNA". It matches the Rfam family "Bacterial small subunit ribosomal RNA", at positions 524 to 776 of the family's 1533-position model. The record is from RNAcentral.
UACGAAGGGGGCUAGCGUUGUUCGGAAUUACUGGGCGUAAAGCGUUUGUAGGCGGUUAUUUAAGCCAGUGGUGAAAGCCCGGGGCUUAACCCCCGGAAUUGCCAUUGGUACUGGAUAGCUAGAGAAUGUUAGAGGAAAGUGGAAUUCCUAGUGUAGGAGUGAAAUCCGUAGAGAUUAGGAGGAAUAUCGAUGGCGAAGGCAGCUUUCUGGGACAUUUCUGACGCUGAGAAACGAAAGCGUGGGUAGCAAACAGG